CAGUUGAUGUGUUUCACAUCAGUGUUUCUCUGUCUAUCCCCCUCCCUUCAACCCUCUAAAAAUCAAUGGAAAAAUAUCCUUGGGUGGGGAUUAACUAAAAUAAAAAGGCAACCUUUUUUCUUGGGUGAAAAGGAAAUGAGGAAAAAAUAUGAUCAUGUGUUACAGAGUAAAGCAAGACAGUGAAGCUCCUCAUUUCGAUGGCCUUGUUGUAUUCCAAACAACAAUGGAGCAGGUUCCUGCACUGAAAGGCUUAAGGAGGCCAAGGUUCUGGGGAGAUGUAAUGCAGAGAUCAAGGAAAUCAGAAUGUGGUCCAGCAAUAGAGACCUAUGAUUUGUGGCAUUGCAUUAGCUCCUGCCUACAGGAUUCUCUCUGCUCACCCAGGGUUGACUUUAAUUUGUGUGUUAUUAAAUAAGCAUUAUUUUUGUCUUACGUUGGUGCUUAAAUAUUCCUUUUUUUUUUUCUUUUCUUUUUUUAUGGAGUAAGAUUAUUAGAUUGGACAGAAGUCAUGAUUUCAGAUUUUCAUCAACUUUAGCUUCCAGCUAUGUUAUUUCUGUACUCUAACUCAGGAUUCUCAUUCACAAGGGAGUUUUCCUUAUAUGCAGAUCUGAAAUCUAUCUUUUCUAGAAAUGAAAAUAUAAUCAUGAAGUUUUUCUGUUUCAUGGCUUCUGUACGAUAGGGAAAGGAAAUACAAGUUAUAAAACUAAGUUCUUGGUUCACUUUAAAGAAUAGAAAUUUUUUCAUAAUUAACAAAAACAUUUGUGUGAUCAUCUUAGUUUUGGGUAAGAAAGACAUUUCUCUUUCUAUUAUCUAUAAAUAAAAAAUUGUGACUUGGAGAGGGUGAGCAAUAUGUGGAUUCCAAACAUUAAUCUUAAAAUAAUCUGUAUUUUAGAAGUCUUUAGCAUGUCCCACUUAAUUCUUAUAUUAAUUUACUCUCACCUCCAAAUUUUUAUUUUAUUUUAAGGCAAAGCCAGUGAAAACAUGUCUUUUCAGUUGUAAUAUUCUCCACUAAAAUAUUUUACAAUUUAGUUUUUAGUGGAUCUCUGAAAAAUAGAACUCUCAGUUGCUAAUUGCCAAAUUUUAAUUAUUCAGCCAGUUUAAGGUGUUAAAUUGAGCCUGUGACAUUGACUGUAAUAAUUUAUAUACAUGCAGUUAGUUGGCUUUUACAUCUUGUUUUUCUCACAUACUUAUCUAGUACUUGACUACAAAAAUCUGAAUACUAAAGUACAUUUUGUUUUUGUCUUAGAGCUUUUCUAAAAUGUUAAAAUCUAAUUAUCAGAAUAACUUUUUACAAGCCAUCCUGCAAGAGUUGAAUUGGUUGUUCUCUAAUUAAAGGAGUUUGAGUCAGAAUUCAGACAGAAGACUUU
Long non-coding RNA from Pipistrellus kuhlii (Kuhl's pipistrelle), 1364 nucleotides. RefSeq lists it as uncharacterized. NCBI's taxonomy places the organism in Eukaryota, Metazoa, Chordata, Mammalia, Chiroptera, Vespertilionidae. The transcript has 2 exons. The record is from RefSeq and is a predicted model, not a curated record.